This 904-nucleotide ribosomal RNA is filed under the name uncultured bacterium. RNAcentral describes it as "bacterial SSU rRNA". It matches the Rfam family "Bacterial small subunit ribosomal RNA", at positions 29 to 910 of the family's 1533-position model. The record is from RNAcentral.
ACGAACGCUGGCGGCGUGCUUAACACAUGCAAGUCGAACGGAGAACUUUCUUCGGAAUGUUCUUAGUGGCGAACGGGUGAGUAACGCGUAGGCAACCUGCCCUCUGGUUGGGGACAACAUUCCGAAAGGGAUGCUAAUACCGAAUGUGAUCCUCUUUCCGCAUGGAGAGAGGAUGAAAGAUGGCCUCUACUUGUAAGCUAUCGCCAGAAGAUGGGCCUGCGUCUGAUUAGCUUGUAGGUGGGGUAACGGCUCACCUAGSCGAUGAUCAGUAGCCGGUCUGAGAGGAUGAACGGCCACAUUGGGACUGAGACACGGCCCAAACUCCUACGGGAGGCAGCAGUGGGGAAUCUUCCGCAAUGGACGAAAGUCUGACGGAGCAACGCCGCGUGAGUGAUGAAGGUCUUCGGAUUGUAAAACUCUGUUGUCAGGGACGAAUGCACCGAUUUAUAAUACACUUUGGUGUUGACGGUACCUGACGAGGAAGCCACGGCUAACUACGUGCCAGCAGCCGCGGUAAUACGUAGGUGGCAAGCGUUGUCCGGAAUUAUUGGGCGUAAAGAGCAUGUAGGCGGGCUUUUAAGUCCGACGUGAAAAUGCGGGGCUUAACCCCGUAUGGCGUUGGAUACUGGGAGUCUUGAGUGCAGGAGAGGAAAGGGGAAUUCCCAGUGUAGCGGUGAAAUGCGUAGAUAUUGGGAGGAACACCAGUGGCGAAGGCGCCUUUCUGGACUGUGUCUGACGCUGAGAUGCGAAAGCCAGGGUAGCAAACGGGAUUAGAUACCCCGGUAGUCCUGGCCGUAAACGAUGGGUACUAGGUGUAGGAGGUAUCGACCCCUUCUGUGCCGGAGUUAACGCAAUAAGUACCCCGCCUGGGGACUACGAUCGCAAGAUUGAAACUCAAAGGAAU